This 458-nucleotide ribosomal RNA is filed under the name uncultured bacterium. RNAcentral's name for it is "bacterial SSU rRNA". It matches the Rfam family "Bacterial small subunit ribosomal RNA", at positions 30 to 489 of the family's 1533-position model. The record is from RNAcentral.
AUUGAACGCUGGCGGCAUGCCUUACACAUGCAAGUCGAACGGCAGCACGGGAGCAAUCCUGGUGGCGAGUGGCGAACGGGUGAGUAAUAUAUCGGAACGUGCCCGGUCGUGGGGGAUAACGUAGCGAAAGCUACGCUAAUACCGCAUACGAUCUACGGAUGAAAGCGGGGGAUCGCAAGACCUCGCGCGAUUGGAGCGGCCGAUAUCAGAUUAGGUAGUUGGUGAGGUAAAGGCUCACCAAGCCGACGAUCUGUAGCUGGUCUGAGAGGACGACCAGCCACACUGGGACUGAGACACGGCCCAGACUCCUACGGGAGGCAGCAGUGGGAAUUUGGACAAUGGGCGCAAGCCUGAUCCAGCAAUGCCGCGUGCAGGAUGACGGUCCUAUGGAUUGUAAACUGCUUUUAUACAGAAGAAACACUCCGACGUUGCGGAGCUUGACGGUACUGUAAGAAUAA